RNAcentral lists this ribosomal RNA (490 nucleotides) under uncultured bacterium. Its description in RNAcentral is "partial 16S ribosomal RNA". It matches the Rfam family "Bacterial small subunit ribosomal RNA", at positions 29 to 507 of the family's 1533-position model. The record is from RNAcentral.
AUUGAACGCUGGCGGCAUGCCUUACACAUGCAAGUCGAACGGCAUCGCGGGAAAGCUUGCUUUCCUGGCGGCGAGUGGCGAACGGGUGAGUAACACAUCGGAACGUACCGGCUAGUGGGGGAUAACCCGUCGAUAGACGGGCUAAUACCGCAUACGCUCUUCGGAGGAAAGCAGGGGACCUUUGGGCCUUGCGCUAGCCGAGCGGCCGAUGUCCGAUUAGCUAGUUGGUGGGGUAAAGGCCUACCAAGGCGACGAUCGGUAGCGGGUCUGAGAGGACGAUCCGCCACACUGGGACUGAGACACGGCCCAGACUCCUACGGGAGGCAGCAGUGGGGAAUCUUGGACAAUGGGGGCAACCCUGAUCCAGCAAUGCCGCGUGGGUGAAGAAGGCCUUCGGGUUGUAAAGCCCUUUCGGCAGGGAAGAAAUCGGCGGGGCGAAUAACCCUGCUGGAUGACGGUACCUGCAGAAGAAGCACCGGCUAACUACGUG